RNAcentral lists this long non-coding RNA (1177 nucleotides) under Oreochromis niloticus (Nile tilapia). RNAcentral describes it as "lncRNA (ENSONIG00000033727.1)". Lineage: Eukaryota; Metazoa; Chordata; Actinopteri; Cichliformes; Cichlidae. The record is from RNAcentral.
UAAAUCCUUCAGCUGGACAUUGUGGUUUUCCAUCACAGUUCUCAAAGUUCAUUUUCAACCCUCAGCGUUGCAAUUUCCCCCCACAGAGUAUCACAAAUGUCCGCUUUCAUUUAAGUUAUCUUGGCGUCCAAAGAAGCAAUCGCAGACAGCACUUGUUUAUUGCCUUGUGUGCACUCUUCAUAUGCAGAACUAGCGGGCGUGCUGGUUCUUCCACUGUAUUCAUAGAAUGAAUGUAAAACUGUCAGACAUUCAUUAAAUAUGCAAAAUGUCCACAGAAACAUCAGAGGGUCAGAUGUGAAGCACUCAGUGAUUUUGAUCAAAUGACUCAUCAGUUAUUGAUCUGUACUACACUGAUCUACCACGUUAGUAAAGCUGGUGUUCUGGUGGUGGAGGGAGACCUCGGAUCAUGUUCUGGUGUUGGAGCAGUGAUCUGCUGAUGGUUCAGUUUAAUGAGCUUCUUCAAAAUCCUCCCUGACAUCACCACUGAAAGGAUGUCCAUGAAAACAGACUGAAAAUUACUGAUAUGUUCACAAUCUGAGAGUUUAUAAUCAAUCAAUCAAUCAAUAUACUUUAUUAAUCCCAAGGGAAAUUACGGUUACAGCAGGCAGCACGCUAAUGGCGCAUGCGCACUUACAAAGGAACCUUCUGACCAAACUAAACACAAACAACACAUUGGGGAGACAUGUCAGAGAGAUAGGCUGAUAGGAAAAAAACAAAACUUAGUAAAAAUUACUGAUAUUUUCACAAUCUGAGUUUAAAAGUUGACAGACUUGAUUCAGAUGAAGUUAUUUGAGCAGAAACUCCUGGAUCUUUAUCCUGUGUUGAUCUAAUCCUUCAUGGUUCCUCCACAGAGUGGACCAGCAGAGCUCAGAGGUUCCCAGUGGUCAGUCUGCCCAGCAGCAUCAAACACAGCUGGACUCCAUAUUUAUGCUGCUGGAGGACAACAUCAUCACUUUUGUGAAGAACGAGCUGAAGAAGAUCCAGAAGGUUCUGAGUCCAGAUUACCCAGAAUGCUUAGAGAGUCAGAUGAGCAGCAGAGAGGCAUUUGUGAAGAUCACAGUGGACUUCCUGAGGAGAAUGAAGCAGGAGGAGCUGGCUGAGCGUCUGCAGAGCAGUAAGCGGAUUUAUCUAAAGAUUUAAGCUGCUGGAUAAAUGAAUAUUUUCUAAUGUCUGAAGA